RNAcentral lists this ribosomal RNA (465 nucleotides) under uncultured bacterium. RNAcentral's name for it is "partial 16S ribosomal RNA". It matches the Rfam family "Bacterial small subunit ribosomal RNA", at positions 28 to 507 of the family's 1533-position model. The record is from RNAcentral.
GACGAACGCUGGCGGCGUGCUUAACACAUGCAAGUCGAGCGGUAAGGCCCCUUCGGUGGUACACGAGCGGCGAACGGGUGGGUAACACUUACGCAAUCUUCCCAUCACAUCGGGAUAACUCCGGGAAACCGAAGCUAAUACCGAAUACGACCACCUCCUGCAUCGGCUGGGGGUGGAAAUUUCCGGCGGUUUUGGUUGAGCUCGCGGGCUAUUACCUUGUUGGUCGGGUAACGGCUAACCAAGGCUUCGACGGGUAGCCGGCCUGAGAGGGUGACCGGCCACACUGGGACUGAGACACGGCCCAGACUCCUACGGGAGGCAGCAGUGGGAAAUAUUGGACAAUGGGCGAAAGCCUGAUACAGCAACGCCGCGUGAGGGAUGACGGCCUUCGGGUUGUAAACCUCUUUCAGCAGGGACGAAGCGCAAGUGACGGUACCUGCAGAAGAAGCACCGGCCAACUACGUG